This 259-nucleotide long non-coding RNA is filed under the name Elaeis guineensis (African oil palm). RNAcentral's name for it is "long non-coding RNA (EGUI_LNC046546)". Lineage: Eukaryota; Viridiplantae; Streptophyta; Magnoliopsida; Arecales; Arecaceae. The record is from RNAcentral.
UUGGAGGAAGAAAGAAGAAAAAGAGAGAAAAAUAUCAUAAACAAAUCAAGGUAAUGUAGAUUGACCUUAAGCCUACCUCUACGGGAUGUGCAAGCUUCACUAUGAGAGAAAAAAAAUCAAACAAAUAUAAGAGAAACUCACCACCCAACUCUUAUACAAAUACUCUCAACAAAAAGCCUCAAAAUCCUCAUAAAAACUCUCUAAAAUCUUUUUUGAAGCCUCUCUACAUGAUCAAGACGUCACCACAAUAAAUGACUCG